GGCCUUGCGGAGCUCGGCGCCUUCAGCUCCGCCUCGCUGUUUCUCUUACGCAAGGGAGCAGGCCCCGGAGGAGGUCGGACGCGGCGGCAAUCGAGGGGGGCAGCGGCGUGGCUGAAGCGCUCGAGGCCAUUCUGGAUCUUUCGUGGGUGGAAAAGGCAGAACUAGUUAUGGCAAAGCACAAGAAAUACAAGAUUCAAACAUCAUCUGCACAAUUUCAUGAAUGAAGCAGGCCAACUGCAUGAUUAAUGCUUCUUCUAGAUCUGU
Long non-coding RNA from Varanus komodoensis (Komodo dragon), 264 nucleotides. RefSeq lists it as uncharacterized. The transcript is spliced from 2 exons. NCBI's taxonomy places the organism in Eukaryota, Metazoa, Chordata, Lepidosauria, Squamata, Varanidae. The record is from RefSeq and is a predicted model, not a curated record.